Molecule: RNA transcript, 3988 nt
Organism: Macadamia integrifolia
Lineage: Eukaryota; Viridiplantae; Streptophyta; Magnoliopsida; Proteales; Proteaceae
Gene name: probable apyrase 7
Exons: 9
Source: RefSeq, a predicted model, not a curated record
CGUCCAACUUCACACGGAUUUGGUCCAAAUAGAACCCGUUUUACCCGUUUUUUAUACUCCCAAUCUCUAUCUCUCUGCAUAUUUGAUCGAACCGAAGACGAUCACUUGCCAAGUUGAUUUCGUUUCCUUCCUCCGGCCGAGACACUAGGGUUCGAUCGAUUCAGGGACGAUGAACACGAGAGUAUAGUGGCUGAUGAACCAGUGAACGUUCAGAGGCAAAAGCACUGGUUUCAGGCGGGCUUUGGUCAGUGAAAGACAGAAAGUUUGAAGGAUCAGUCCAUAAGGCCAUCCAAGAGGGAGCAGUGAUCCUUGCUAUGUUGAAGCAUAUCAUUACCUGACUCCACUGAUGGAAGGAUUACCCUGCAUCUAAAGCAAGUCAGUCAUAUGGCAUCCUCACGUCCUGUGUCUGGAUCAUCAGCAUCAUCUGGACUGUUGCCCCCUGCAGGUCCAGAUUCAGGUUUUAGUACAGUCCAUCCUGGACAAAAGAACUACUUGAGAAACUCAUCGUCACUUCAAGAUUUCUCAACGUACCAUGUACUUGAUUCAGAAGAAAAUGAUCUUGAUCUUGUAAUCAACAGGUCUGCAUCCCGUGCAAAAGUUCCUCAUCCCUUACAGAGAGAAAAGGAUGGUGCAAGUUUCUCAAAGGAGAAAGUCUUGCCAGGAAUACCAUUUUUAAGGAAGAAAUGGGUCCGAAGAAUCAUGGCACUCAUUUGCUUACUAAUCUUAUUUUUCUUGAUCUACUUGUGUGCAAAAUAUUUUAGUACUUAUUGGUCUCAAGAAGCAUCGAAAUUUUAUGUGGUACUUGAUUGUGGAAGUACGGGAACUCGUGUUUAUGUAUAUAAAUCAUCUAUUGAUCAUAAGAAAGAUGGUGGUCUUCCUAUUAUCUUGAGAUCAUUACCAGAAGGGACUAAAAGAAAAUCUAUUGCAUUGUCUGGGCGUGCUUAUCUUCGAAUGGAAACUGAGCCUGGGUUUGACAAACUUGUGCACAAUACAUCUGGGUUGAAGGCAGUGAUGAAACCUCUCCUGCAGUGGGCAGAGAAGAACAUACCCAAGCGAUCUCAUAAGAGUACAUCACUCUUCCUUCAUGCCACAGCUGGGGUUCGUAGACUUCCAAGUUCUGAUUCCCAAUGGCUUCUUGAUAAUGCUUGGUCAAUAUUGAGGAAUUCCUCUUUUGCAUGCCGGAGGGACUGGGUCAGGGUUAUCUCAGGCAUGGAGGAAGCUUAUUAUGGAUGGAUAGCUCUUAAUUAUCACAUGGGUAUGCUGGGUUCCGAACCAGCAAAAGCAACAUUUGGUGCACUUGAUUUGGGUGGUUCAUCAUUGCAGGUUACUUUUGAGACCAAGGAACUGGUAAAAGGUGAGUCUGGUUUAAAAUUAAAUAUGGGGGCCGUUAGUCAUCAGCUCAGUGCCUAUUCUUUGUCAGGUUAUGGUUUGAAUGAUGCUUUUGAUAAAUCUGUGGUUUAUCUUCUCAAGAAGAUUCCAGGAAUCAGUAAUGUUGAUCUAAUUAAUGGAAAAAUUGAACUUAAACAUCCAUGCUUGCAGAGUGGGUACAUGGAAAAGUACAUCUGUUCUCAGUGUGCUUCACUAAACCAAGAAAGUGGGAGCCCUUUGAUGGCAGGAAAAAAUAUUGGUAAAGGAGGAAAACCUGGAAUAGCUGUCCGCCUUAUUGGUGCUCCACAAUGGGAAGAAUGCAGCAUGCUUGCAAAAGUGGCAGUUAAUUCAUCUGAAUGGUCAGAUUCAAAUCCAGGAAUCGAUUGUGAGCUGCAACCUUGUGCCCUGAGUGAUAGCUUACCCUGCCCCCAUGGGAAGUUUUAUGCGAUGUCUGGCUUCUAUGUGGUGUUUCGGUUUUUUAACUUGUCCUCAGAAGCUACAUUUGAUGAUGUAUUGGAGAAGGGUCGGGAAUACUGUGAAAAAACUUGGGAUGUUGCAAGGAAUAGUGUGGUACCACAGCCAUUUAUAGAACAAUACUGCUUUAGGGCGCCUUAUAUUGUAUCCCUUUUGAGAGAGGGAUUACACAUAACAGAUAGCCAGGUGCUUAUUGGUUCUGGUAGUAUCACUUGGACACUUGGGGUUGCUCUCUUGGAAGCUGGGGGGUCAUUAUCAACUCGAAUGGCACUUCGGAGCUUUAAACUACUCCAGAUGAAGAUGAGCCCAAUCCUUCUGAUUGUUCUGGUGAUUGUUUCACUGAUACUUCUAGCCUGUGCCUUAUCAUGCACUGGCAAGUGGAUCCCAAGAUUUUUCCAUAGGCCUUAUCUCCCAUUAUUUAGGCAUAACGGUGCAACUGUGACCUCUGUUCUUAAUAUUUCCUCUCCAUUCCGGUUCCAGCGCUGGAGUCCUAUGAACACUGGAGAUGGGAGGGUAAAGAUGCCACUGAGUCCUACCAUUGCUCAUUCUCAGCAAAAACCGUUCAGUAUGGGCCACAGUUUGGAAGACCACAACAUUCAGCUCAUUGAGUAUUCUUUACAUCCGACAAGAAGUAGCGUCUCACAUAGUUACUCCUCAGGUAGCUUGGGGCAGAUGCAGUUUGAUAAUGGUGGGGUGGGUUCCUUUUGGGCUCCUCACAGAAGUCAGAUGCGUCUUCAAAGCCGGAGAUCACAGUCCAGAGAAGACCUCAAUUCUUCACUGGCUGAGGCACACAUAGCGAAGGUCUAGAGCAUGCUCCUUCAGAAGUUGGGGUUUGAAUUUCAAAAUCCGUGAUCAAGGGCCCCUCUUUUCCCGCCCCCAGCCUUCGCCUCCGCCUCCGCCUCCUCUCUAUCUGGCUUGCUCACAGUCUCUGCUUCAACAAUGGCUAAUGCCACUUCUCUGUCUACUCCACUUGGAACUGCCGCUUGCGAGAAGCAUGCGAAGGAUAUUCAGUUCAUCGAAGAGAUGACCAAGAACGCUAACACCGUCCAGGAGGCGAUUUUGGCUGAGAUCUUGACCCGAAAUGCCGAGACUGAGUAUCUUCGCCGAUACCAGCUUAAUGGCGCAACCGAUUGGGAGACAUUCAAAUCAAAGAUACCAGUAAUCACCUACGAGGAUAUUCAGCUUGAGAUCCAACGCAUUGCCAAUGGUGAUCGUUCCCCAAUCCUCUCCAGUGAACCCAUCUCUGAAUUCUUCACUAGCUCUGGAACUUCCGACGGUGAGAGAAAGUUCAUGCCCAACAACUCAAGAAGAGCUGAAUCGCUGUCAACUUCUUCAUAACCUUGUCGCACCAUUCAUGAACCUUUACAUUCCAGGCCUAGAACAGAAGAAAGGGGCUAUACUUCUUGUUCGUCAAAUCCGGAACCAAGACUCCCGGCGGGCUAUUGGCACGUCUAGCUCUCACUGGCUACUACAAUAGUGAUCAAUUCAAGAACAGACCCUACGACCCUUACAAUGUAUACGCUAGCCCCAUCGAAGCCAUCCUCUGCACCGAUUCUUUCCAGAGCAUGUACACCCAGACGCUAUGUGGCCUCUGCCAACAAAAGGAAGUCCUUCGAGUCGGUGCCGUGUUCGCCUCUGGGUUACUCAGGGCAAUCAGAUUUCUCCAACUCAACUGGCAACAACUCGCCCAUGACAUUUCCACGGGACCUUGAAUCCCAAAAUCACCGACCCAUGGAUGAACAAAACAUGGAUUUUGAAAUUCAAACCUGGGUUUUAUGAGUUGUUUGGUCAGAACCGGUUCAAGUCAAUAUGGUUCGAGUCAUCCAUUAAUCUAAACCGGAUUUAGUAACAAAAGACCAACAAAAGUAAUCUCAACCGCAGGUUUAAAGGAGGACACGUAUCCUCUUCUGCAGGUAGCAAAACACAGCAAAACAGGGAUGAAGAAAAACAGACGAUUUUUAUCCGUUAUCAUCAGCAUCACAACUCCUAGGGAAUCCAAUUAUGCUCCCCAAAUAAUUACUAAUCUGGUGUUUUAUUUUAUCUUCUCUUAUAUUAUCUUGUAAUAUUGAAAUUGGCACGAUGAUGUCUCCUUGUGUUCAUGAUGUUGCCACAAAUUUUUUCUUCAAGUGAUGAUAUGGUGUGAUCA